This 497-nucleotide ribosomal RNA is filed under the name uncultured bacterium. Its description in RNAcentral is "partial 16S ribosomal RNA". It matches the Rfam family "Bacterial small subunit ribosomal RNA", at positions 28 to 507 of the family's 1533-position model. The record is from RNAcentral.
GAUGAACGCUGGCGGCGUGCCUAAUACAUGCAAGUCGAGCGAACGGACGAGAAGCUUGCUUCUCUGGUGUUAGCGGCGGACGGGUGAGUAACACGUGGAUAACCUACCUAUAAGACUGGGAUAACUUCGGGAAACCGUAGCUAAUACCGGAUAAUAUUUUGAACCGCAUGGUUCAAAAGUGAAAGACGGUCUUGCUGUCACUUAUAGAUGGAUCCGCGCUGCAUUAGCUAGUUGGUAAGGUAACGGCUUACCAAGGCAACGAUGCAUAGCCGACCCGAGAGGGUGAUCGGCCACACUGGAACUGAGACACGGUCCAGACUCCUACGGGAGGCAGCAGUAGGGAAUCUUCCGCAAUGGGCGAAAGCCUGACGGAGCAACGCCGCGUGAGUGAUGAAGGUCUUCGGAUCGUAAAACUCUGUUAUUAGGGAAGAACAUAUGUGUAAGUAACUGUGCACAUCUUGACGGUACCUAAUCAGAAAGCCACGGCUAACUACGUG